RNAcentral lists this ribosomal RNA (561 nucleotides) under fungal endophyte sp. ECD-2008. Its description in RNAcentral is "eukaryotic LSU rRNA". The stretch from base 238 to 391 matches the Rfam family "5.8S ribosomal RNA". The record is from RNAcentral. Lineage: Eukaryota; Fungi.
UAGAGGAAGUAAAAGUCGUAACAAGGUCUCCGUUGGUGAACCAGCGGAGGGAUCAUUAAAGAGUUUACACAACUCCUAAACCCAUGUGAACUUACCUUUUGUUGCCUCGGCAGGUCGCGUUUACCCUGUGAGGGCCUACCCUGUAGGCUCUUACCUGGUGGACGUGGGCUCCCCUGCCGGCGGCCCGUUAAAUUCUGUUUAUUAUAUUAUUUCUGAAUCUAUAACUAAAUAAGUUAAAACUUUCAACAACGGAUCUCUUGGUUCUGGCAUCGAUGAAGAACGCAGCGAAAUGCGAUAAGUAAUGUGAAUUGCAGAAUUCAGUGAAUCAUCGAAUCUUUGAACGCACAUUGCGCCCAUUAGUAUUCUAGUGGGCAUGCCUGUUCGAGCGUCAUUUCAACCCUUAAGCCUCUGUUGCUUAGUGUUGGGAGCCUACAGCCCUCUGUAGCUCCCCAAAGUUAGUGGCGGAGUCGGUUCACACUCUAGACGUAGUAAAUUUUUAUCUCGCCUAUAGAUGAGCCGGCGCCUUGCCGUAAAACCCCCUAAUUUNNCACAAGGUGACCU